Molecule: ribosomal RNA, 406 nt
Filed under: uncultured bacterium
Lineage: Bacteria
Description: partial 16S ribosomal RNA
Rfam family: Bacterial small subunit ribosomal RNA
Source: RNAcentral
AUUGAACGCUGGCGGCAGGCCUAACACAUGCAAGUCGAACGAGUGGCGGACGGGUGAGUAAUGUCUGGGAAACUGCCCGAUGGAGGGGGAUAACUACUGGAAACGGUAGCUAAUACCGCAUACCAUCGGAUGUUCACAGAUGGGAUUAGCUAGUAGGUGGGGUAACGGCUCCCCUAGGCGACGAUCCCUAGCUGGUCUGAGAGGAUGACCAGCCACACGGGAACGGAGACCAGGUCAAGACUCCUACGGGAGGCAGCAGUGGGGAAGAGUGCACAAUGGGGGCAAGCUGGAUGCAGCCAUGCCGCGUGUAUGAAGAAGGCCUGCGGGUGGUAAAGUACUUUCAGCGGGGAGGCGUUACUCGAAGAAGAAGCACCGGCUAACUCCGUGCCAGCAGCCGCGGUAAUUC